AGACUAGAUUGCCAGGGGACAUAUGAUGAUCAAGAAAGUGGUUUUCCCAGGGCAUCGCUUCUCAGCCUCUUGACCUAAGAUCAAGUGUACUUGACUGCACAAUUUUGUGGCAGUGGGGAUCUGCUUUCUUGCUUUCCCCCU
RNAcentral lists this small nuclear RNA (141 nucleotides) under Crocodylus porosus (Australian saltwater crocodile). RNAcentral's name for it is "U1 spliceosomal RNA (ENSCPRG00005019091.1)". It matches the Rfam family "U1 spliceosomal RNA". Rfam says of the family: U1 is a small nuclear RNA (snRNA) component of the spliceosome (involved in pre-mRNA splicing). Its 5' end forms complementary base pairs with the 5' splice junction, thus defining the 5' donor site of an intron. The record is from RNAcentral. Lineage: Eukaryota; Metazoa; Chordata; Crocodylia; Crocodylidae.